This 312-nucleotide ribosomal RNA is filed under the name Triticum aestivum (bread wheat). Its description in RNAcentral is "partial small subunit ribosomal RNA". Lineage: Eukaryota; Viridiplantae; Streptophyta; Magnoliopsida; Poales; Poaceae. The record is from RNAcentral.
AUGAGGAGUCAUUCAAGUCGGACGAAGAGAGCGAGGAUGAGGACGACGACGAAGACAAUGAAUCAGAACAAGACAGUGGUAACUCGGGGGAUGACAACGGAGAUGACUGUUCAGAUGAUGAUGAUGACAACACCAGUCAUGGAGGCAAUGUCAGACACAAUUCUGCUGAGGAUGAUGCCAAUAAGGAUAAUGACGAGACAGAGAAAGUUGGUGAAGAUGAGGACAGUGAGGACCAAGUCAAGAAGUGUGGAGGCAAGAAAAACGAUGAUGGAAAUGGAGAUGAUGAGGACCAUGGCGGAGGAGCCAAUAUAG